UUGAACGCUGGCGGCAGGCCUAACACAUGCCAGUCGAGCGGAUGAAGGGAGCUUGCUCCUGGAUUCAGCGGCGGACGGGUGAGUAAUGCCUAGGAAUCUGCCUGGUAGUGGGGGAUAACGUCCGGAAACGGGCGCUAAUACCGCAUACGUCCUGAGGGAGAAAGUGGGGGAUCUUCGGACCUCACGCUAUCAGAUGAGCCUAGGUCGGAUUAGCUAGUUGGUGGGGUAAAGGCCUACCAAGGCGACGAUCCGUAACUGGUCCGAGAGGAUGAUCAGUCACACUGGAACUGAGACACGGUCCAGACUCCUACGGGAGGCAGCAGUGGGGAAUAUUGGACAAUGGGCGAAAGCCUGAUCCAGCCAUGCCGCGUGUGUGAAGAAGGUCUUCGGAUUGUAAAGCACUUUAAGUUGGGAGGAAGGGCAGUAAGUUAAUACCUUGCUGUUUUGACGUUACCAACAGAAUAAGCACCGGCUAACUUCGUG
This 483-nucleotide ribosomal RNA is filed under the name uncultured bacterium. RNAcentral describes it as "partial 16S ribosomal RNA". It matches the Rfam family "Bacterial small subunit ribosomal RNA", at positions 30 to 507 of the family's 1533-position model. The record is from RNAcentral.